Molecule: non-coding RNA, 3690 nt
Organism: Phoenix dactylifera (date palm)
Lineage: Eukaryota; Viridiplantae; Streptophyta; Magnoliopsida; Arecales; Arecaceae
Source: RefSeq, a predicted model, not a curated record
UUAUUCUUCUUUGUUCUUUCCUCUGAUUUCUAAGGAUCAAACUGAAUAAUAGUUUCCUUUGAAUCUUCUGCGGAUGGGUUAUAUGAGGAUGCCGUACAUCGUGCUGCUAAGGAAUCUAGCCCGACCUACGACGAAUUAAGAUAAGUUAAAUAGUUAAUAAUAAUAACUUAGCUCAACCUGGUGGAUUUAGCUCGAUCCUCUCUAUUCGCUUUUCGACGGCUCCGAUCCAACCGAAUCCAAACCCUAAAACCCUAAACUCCAACCCUCAAAAUCCAACACCCUGCACCUCCGCGAACGAGAACCCUACUGCUGCCGUCCACAGGCCAGAGGCCGAUUCGAGAUAACCCGAUGAAUCAAUCCCCAGGUUCGCGUCGAGCUCGCUCCUUCCAACUUGCAAGACCUCAUCUUCCUUGAUGCGGCAACCGCUGGGAGCGAUCACGACAACUUUUAUGAGGGUUUCUUGCGCUUCCUUCGUAUUUUAACUUUACUUGCAGGGGCGAUUUCAAGGGAAAACCUUGGGGUUGAGUUUCUGGAGUUCCUGCCCUUCCUGUUGUUGGCUGGUGAAUUGUUGUUGGUUCGUCAUCUGUAUUUGAUGAUCAAUUAUCUUCGUAGAAUUUGAUACUUUUUUAUAGAUAUCUAACGUAUUAAAGCUGAUUCAAUCAAUUAAUAGCAGUCCUUUUGUUUUGGGAUCUGGAAAAGGAAAUGCGGAAUGAAACAGAAUCAGGAAUUGAGUGAUCGAAAGUUUCAGGAGACCGUCAAGAAUUUUGGUUAUUGCUGGUUUGUCUCAGUAGUUGCUUUGUCAUGCUUCACUAAUAAUCUGCCUAUAUUUUUGUAUGUUUCCUUAGCUGUUGCUCUGUUGAUGAAACCUAAUUAAAUUGGUCAUCUGGAUGGGGUUCUUGGGAAUGCUUUCUUGCAAUGAGACAUAUCUUUUUCCCCUCGAAAAUAUGCUUUCUGCUGAAAGAUUACAAGUCAGAGAUUUGUUUUAUAAAGUGAAUAGCUGCAUAUUUUUCAAACAAUAUCAUAGUCUUAAAAUAUUAUACCUUUUAGCAAAAGAAUCUCAAUUUUGGUAUUUUUUAUUCAAGGUAUUUUUUAGUAAUUUAUAGAACAAACUUCAUUCAACUUUAUCUGACUGUAUGUAACACAAGGCAUUCUAUCCCUAGCAUUCUAGCUUGUUGACAGACCAUGCACGAGGACACAUAACAUAACAUUCUAUUACCAGGACUUAUCUGCUCUUUUAGUGACUAACAUGAGUUUUUUUUUUUCCCACAGUGUGAGUUGGUUUCUCGUGAUGUAUGUUUCCUCUUAUGAUGAGUCUUUUUUGCACUCUAUCAUUCUACUAUUUUCUUAUUUUGUAUUUGAAACAGAGGAAGUUUAUAUCGUAUCUAUUUUUUAUCUCUCCUUCUAAAAGGAUAUGAUGGCUAAGUAAAAGGUUUGAGUAAGAAAACUUAUUGGUGGUGAUUAGAUCAAGUUGGGAGAAAGGAAGAGGGCCCUUGUCCUUGCUCAAGUUUUAGCAUUGUGGCUUUCGCAACCUCUUCGACAACAAGUUUUUCAUGCGUAUGCAUGAUGUUGGGUUGAAAGAAAAGGCGUGGGCUGCAUUCUAAGUUUGAAUGCUAGCCUAGACUUCUCCCAAUAUUUCUUAUGCAAUCCCAACGACCAUCUAAUCACUAUCAUGUUUUCUUCGCUGAUAAAUCCUUCAAGCUGAUCCUUCCAGACCUCAAGAUUUUGUGUUCCUUGCCUUCGUAGUUUUCUUUUAUUGAACUUUUGGUACCUAAGUAGGAUUCUGAAAUUAAUUCUGCUAUCGACUUUGAUAUAAUUGCUGAAUUCAUCAUUUCUUCAUGGUCAGCGGAUAUACCAGAUAAUCUUUGAAAGUAAUUUUUCUGCGAAUUCUUCUUGCUUGUUGCAUGAUUAAUAGGUUUUCCAUCUUUGGAGAAAUAAUGCAUGUGUUUAAGAACAUGUGUCCUAUUUCUAAGAUACCAGAAACUUCAAGUAAGUAUUCUGAAAGUUGUUAGUUUGUGUUUCUUACUGUAGAUUUGUUAGACCACGUUGUUAGUGUAACGGCGUGAAGCAUAAUCAUGAGAGUAACAUAGUCAAGGCGUGAGUUGAGAAAAGCAUUGUUAUCUAAUCUCUUUAUGUGUUUGGUGGAAUUGCUGUCAAUCUAAACUAAUGCGUGCAAGAGGUUUGGCAUAUCUUUUGGCUCGUAUGUUUCAGACUUUCCUGCCAUUUUAUGAUUUAUAUCAUUCCUCUGAUUCUGCAUGAGUUUGGUUGUCAUAUAUAAAGUUUCCAUCACACCCUGAAAUGGCUGUGCAUUAAUGCCGCAGAUGGUGGUAUGCUAAGUUGUGAUCUUAUACAACCUUGUCUUUGAAUACCAUUUGUUGAUGUAUUAAUUUUACCUCCUUCAAGUAUUGACUUAAUGUUUAUUCCCUUUUUUCCUGCUAGUACCCAUUCCCUUUCUUUUCCUGCUAUAUUAUACAUGCUGGGAGAGCCUUAGACACACUCCACAAACAUAUUACCCAGACUGAUGAUAAAUUUACUUGGAAUACCAUUAGUUUGCUGCUUAUAUCAUAUAAUCUAGAAGCCCUCUUUUUUUAUAAAGCCAGAUGGGCAGCACAAGGAGGAUUGGUAUGUUUUCCAUUUAUGUACCACGUCUGGUUCUUAAAGAAAGCACAUGGAGUUUUGUAUCUGAGGUACAUUAGACAUUAUUUACAUGCUAAGCUAUCCAAAAUAAAGAAAAUUUCUCACCUUUCAGCCUUUUUAUUAGAUUAUGAUUUCCAUCGAACUGUAAAACGAUUAUUUUGAAAAUCAGGUUUUUAUUGUCGUCAAUUCAGAUGUAUCAAUCUUUAGUACACCUUUUGAUUAGUCACUGACGAAUUUUUUCAUUUCAUAAAUUCAAUAUUGCUUGUGAGCUGUGUGAUUGGAGCUGCUACCGUCUGUGAUUUUGUCUAUAUCCAUUCUUUCCUUCUUCCUUUGUUCAAUGUGAAUUGGUUGGGCUUUCUGGUUACAUGGCAAUAUUCAUGCCUAUGCCAGAGCGCAGAAAUUUUCCCCCACUUGGAGUGCCAAGGAUUUUAGCUUACAAUUAAUUAAGUUGGUAGUUCUUUUAAAAGAGUCUGCUGGAAUGCCCUCCAAUCAUCUAAAGGGAUACUGUUCUCUUAUGGUCUAUGUGACUUCCUCAGAACUGGUCUUGUCCUUGCAGUGGUAAGAAUGGCAAUGGAUACUAUUUCUUAGAAAGGGAUUACAGAGGUGAUUGCAUGGGAUAUGGGUUUUGACCAGAACUCGCGAUCAACCAUUUUAAAGAGAGGCUUCAUGUGGGUAGGGUGAUUAUGAUGUUCUAAGUUAUUCCACAUGGUUGCGGGAUGUCGAAACGGGUGUAAAUAUGAACAUUCAAGGCUGUAAAUCUAGUUCAACUGGGGUCUCAGCCAAGAUUGCUGCAAAAAGCAUAUGGAAGUGACAAAAAGACUUUGCUGGACGCUGCUGUAGAAAGUUUGCUGGACGCUUUUCGGCCACGACACCUUGCUUGUCCCGGCCAAAAGUGGGUUUUUUCCUCCACCCUGCGCUGUUAUCGUUUUUCAGUGGGAUUUACCCCUUCUGAUUUAUUUUUUUAUUUGCUAAAACGGGCUUUUCACCCCACUCUAAUGUGAAUAUAUACAAGAAAUUCAGAAAAUAACAGAUUUCUAAAAGCCUUUGGUAUUUGUU